UACGAAGGGGGCUAGCGUUGUUCGGAAUCACUGGGCGUAAAGGGCGCGUAGGCGGCUUUAUAAGUCGGGGGUGAAAGCCUGUGGCUCAACCACAGAAUUGCCUUCGAUACUGUAGAGCUUGAGACCGGAAGAGGUAAGUGGAACUGCGAGUGUAGAGGUGAAAUUCGUAGAUAUUCGCAAGAACACCAGUGGCGAAGGCGGCUUACUGGUCCGGUUCUGACGCUGAGGCGCGAAAGCCAGGGAGCAAACGGG
Molecule: ribosomal RNA, 252 nt
Filed under: uncultured bacterium
Lineage: Bacteria
Description: partial 16S ribosomal RNA
Rfam family: Bacterial small subunit ribosomal RNA
Source: RNAcentral